CCUACGGGCGGCUGCAGUGGGGAAUAUUGCACAAUGGGCGCAAGCCUGAUGCAGCCGUGCCGCGUGUGUGAAGAAGGCCUUCGGGUUGUAAAGCACUUUCAGCGGGGAGGAAGGCGGUGAGGUUAAUAACCUCAUCGAUUGACGUUACCCGCAGAAGAAGCACCGGCUAACUCCGUGCCAGCAGCCGCGGUAAUACGGAGGGUGCAAGCGUUAAUCGGAAUUACUGGGCGUAAAGCGCACGCAGGCGGUCUGUCAAGUCGGAUGUGAAAUCCCCGGGCUCAACCUGGGAACUGCAUUCGAAACUGGCAGGCUAGAGUCUUGUAGAGGGGGGUAGAAUUCCAGGUGUAGCGGUGAAAUGCGUAGAGAUCUGGAGGAAUACCGGUGGCGAAGGCGGCCCCCUGGACAAAGACUGACGCUCAGGUGCGAAAGCGUGGGGAGCAAACAGGAUUAAUACCCGGGUAGUC
RNAcentral lists this ribosomal RNA (464 nucleotides) under uncultured Klebsiella sp. RNAcentral describes it as "bacterial SSU rRNA". It matches the Rfam family "Bacterial small subunit ribosomal RNA", at positions 338 to 795 of the family's 1533-position model. The record is from RNAcentral. Lineage: Bacteria; Pseudomonadati; Pseudomonadota; Gammaproteobacteria; Enterobacterales; Enterobacteriaceae.